Molecule: ribosomal RNA, 377 nt
Filed under: uncultured bacterium
Lineage: Bacteria
Description: bacterial SSU rRNA
Rfam family: Bacterial small subunit ribosomal RNA
Source: RNAcentral
GACGGAGGGGGCGAGCGUUGUUCGGAAUUAUUGGGCGUAAAGGGCUUGUAGGCGGACAGGUUAGUCUGGCGUGAAAUCUCCACCGCUCACCGGGGAGGGGCCGCUGGAAACUGCCUGUCUGGAGUUCGGUAGAGGGUCAUGGAAUUCCGCAUGUAGCGGUGGAAUGCGUAGAUAUGCGGAAGAACACCUGUGGCGAAGGCGGUGGCCUGGGCCGAAACUGACGCUGAGGAGCGAAAGCCAGGGGAGCAAACGGGAUUAGAUACCCCGGUAGUCCUGGCCGUAAACGUUGGAUACUAGGUGUGGGAGGUAUCGACCCCUCCUGUGCCGCAGCUAACGCAUUAAGUAUCCCGCCUGGGGAGUACGGCCGCAAGGUUGAA